UACGAAGGGGGCUAGCGUUGCUCGGAAUUACUGGGCGUAAAGCGCACGUAGGCGGCUUUCUAAGUCGGGGGUGAAAUCCUGGAGCUCAACUCCAGAACUGCCUUCGAUACUGGAGAGCUUGAGUCCGGGAGAGGUGAGUGGAACUGCGAGUGUAGAGGUGAAAUUCGUAGAUAUUCGCAAGAACACCAGUGGCGAAGGCGGCAUCCUGGACCAAUUCUGACGCUGAGGAGCGAAAGCCAGGGGAGCAAACGGG
RNAcentral lists this ribosomal RNA (253 nucleotides) under uncultured bacterium. Its description in RNAcentral is "partial 16S ribosomal RNA". It matches the Rfam family "Bacterial small subunit ribosomal RNA", at positions 524 to 776 of the family's 1533-position model. The record is from RNAcentral.